This 73-nucleotide transfer RNA is filed under the name Felis catus (domestic cat). It matches the Rfam family "tRNA". From Rfam's summary of the family: Transfer RNA (tRNA) molecules are approximately 80 nucleotides in length. Their secondary structure includes four short double-helical elements and three loops (D, anti-codon, and T loops). The record is from Rfam by way of RNAcentral. Lineage: Eukaryota; Metazoa; Chordata; Mammalia; Carnivora; Felidae.
ACGUAGCUGGCUCAGUCGGUGAAGCAUGCGACUCUUGAUCUCAGGGUCAUGAGUUUGAGCCUCAUGUUGGGUG